UACAGUUGCAUGCCCAAGACCCGAAGCGGAGUGAUCUAGCCAUGGGCAGGUUGAAGCGCGGGUAAGACCGUGUGGAGGACCGAACCCACCAGGGUUGAAAACCUGGGGGAUGACCUGUGGUUAGGGGUGAAAGGCCAAUCAAACUCCGUGAUAGCUGGUUCUCCCCGAAAUGCAUUUAGGUGCAGCGUCACGUGUUUCUUGCCGGAGGUAGAGCACUGGAUAGGCGAUGGGCCUUACCGGGUUACUGACCUUAGCCAAACUCCGAAUGCCGGUAAGUGAGAGCGUGGCAGUGAGACUGUGGGGGAUAAGCUCCAUGGUCGAGAGGGAAACAGCCCAGAACACCGACUAAGGUCCCUAAGCGUGUGCUAAGUGGGAAAGGAUGUGGAGUCGCAGAGACAACCAGGAGGUUGGCUUAGAAGCAGCCACCCUUGAAAGAGUGCGUAAUAGCUCACUGGUCAAGUGAUUCCGCGCCGACAAUGUAGCGGGGCUCAAGCACAUCACCGAAGUCGUGUCAUUGCAGCAUAUAGGGCCAACGCCUGCUGUGAUGGGUAGGGGAGCGUCGUGUGCCGGGUGAAGCGGCGGUGGAAACCAGUCGUGGACGGUAUACGAGUGAGAAUGCAGGCAUGAGUAGCGAUACAAGAGUGGGAAACUCUUGCGCCGAUUGACCAAGGGUUCCUGGGUCAAGCUGAUCUGCCCAGGGUAAGUCGGGACCUAAGGCGAGGCCGACAGGCGUAGUCGAUGGACAACGGGUUGAUAUUCCCGUACCCGCUUUGAAGCGCCAACGUCGAACCAGAUGAUGCUAAGGCCGUGAAGCCGUCCCGGAGCCUUCGGGCAAAGGGAAGUGGUGGAGCCGCCGGUCCAAGUCUGUAGUAGGUGAGCGAUGGGGUGACGCAGGAAGGUAGUCCAGCCCGGGCGGUGGUAGUCCCGGGGUAAGGGUGUAGGCCGAGUGAUAGGCAAAUCCGUCACUCAUUGAGGCUGAGACCUGAUGCCGAGCCGAUUGUGGUGAAGUGGAUGAUCCUAUGCUGUCGAGAAAAGCCUCUAGCGAGUUUCAUGGCGGCCCGUACCCCAAACCGACUCAGGUGGUCAGGUAGAGAAUACCGAGGCGUUCGGGUGAACUAUGGUUAAGGAACUCGGCAAAAUGCCCCCGUAACUUCGGGAGAAGGGGGGCCAUUCCUGGUGACGAGUCUUGCACUCUGAGCUGGGGGUGGCCGCAGAGACCAGCGAGAAGCGACUGUUUACUAAAAACACAGGUCCGUGCGAAGCCGUAAGGCGAUGUAUACGGACUGACGCCUGCCCGGUGCUGGAACGUUAAGGGGACCGGUUAGCUCCACUUCGGUGGGGCGAAGCUGAGAACUUAAGCGCCAGUAAACGGCGGUGGUAACUAUAACCAUCCUAAGGUAGCGAAAUUCCUUGUCGGGUAAGUUCCGACCUGCACGAAUGGCGUAACGACUUCUCGACUGUCUCAACCAUAGGCCCGGUGAAAUUGCAUUACGAGUAAAGAUGCUCGUUUCGCGCAGCAGGACGGAAAGACCCCGGGACCUUUACUAUAGCUUGAUAUUGGUGUUCGGUUCGGCUUGUGUAGGAUAGGUGGGAGACUUUGAAGCAGCAACGCCAGUUGUUGUGGAGUCGCCGUUGAAAUACCACUCUGGUCGUGCUGGAUGUCUAACCUGGGUCCGUGAUCCGGAUCAGGGACAGUGUCUGGUGGGUAGUUUAACUGGGGCGGUUGCCUCCUAAAGAGUAACGGAGGCGCCCAAAGGUUCCCUCAGCCUGGUUGGCAAUCAGGUGUUGAGUGUAAGUGCACAAGGGAGCUUGACUGUGAGACUGACGGGUCGAGCAGGUACGAAAGUAGGGACUAGUGAUCCGGCGGUGGCUUGUGGAAGCGCCGUCGCUCAACGGAUAAAAGGUACCCCGGGGAUAACAGGCUGAUCUUCCCCAAGAGUCCAUAUCGACGGGAUGGUUUGGCACCUCGAUGUCGGCUCGUCGCAUCCUGGGGCUGGAGUAGGUCCCAAGGGUUGGGCUGUUCGCCCAUUAAAGCGGUACGCGAGCUGGGUUUAGAACGUCGUGAGACAGUUCGGUCCCUAUCCGCUGUGCGCGUAGGAGUGUUGAGAAGGGCUGUCCCUAGUACGAGAGGACCGGGACGGACGAACCUCUGGUGUGCCAGUUGUCCUGCCAAGGGCAUGGCUGGUUGGCUACGUUCGGGAGGGAUAACCGCUGAAAGCAUCUAAGCGGGAAGCCUGCUUCGAGAUGAGCACUCCCACCUCCUUGAGAGGGUAAGGCUCCCAGUAGACGACUGGGUUGAUAGGCCGGAUAUGGAAGCCCUGUGAGGGGUGGAGUUGACCGGUACUAAUAGGCCGAGGGCUUGUCCUCAG
This 2369-nucleotide ribosomal RNA is filed under the name Streptomyces sp. CBMA123. RNAcentral describes it as "partial 23S ribosomal RNA". It matches the Rfam family "Bacterial large subunit ribosomal RNA", at positions 695 to 2925 of the family's 2925-position model. Lineage: Bacteria; Bacillati; Actinomycetota; Actinomycetes; Kitasatosporales; Streptomycetaceae. The record is from RNAcentral.